AGGACGAACGCUGGCGGCGUGCUUAACACAUGCAAGUCGAGCGGAAAGGCCCUUCGGGGUACUCGAGCGGCGAACGGGUGAGUAACACGUGAGUAACCUGCCCCAAACUUUGGGAUAACCCUCGGAAACGGGGGCUAAUACCGAAUAUUACUUCUGGUCGCAUGGCUGGUGGUGGAAAGUUUUUUCGGUUUGGGAUGGACUCGCGGCCUAUCAGCUUGUUGGUGAGGUAAUGGCUCACCAAGGCGAGGACGGGUAGCCCGG
RNAcentral lists this ribosomal RNA (261 nucleotides) under uncultured bacterium. RNAcentral's name for it is "partial small subunit ribosomal RNA". It matches the Rfam family "Bacterial small subunit ribosomal RNA", at positions 26 to 291 of the family's 1533-position model. The record is from RNAcentral.